GAGAAAGAGGUGUCUUUUCCGGCGGAACAACCACUAAAUAUCCAAGUUCUCUUAUUCAAAACAAGACGCUAAAUCAACCAGAAGCCACGAAAGGGCAUUAUUAGAAAAGCUCCAAUAAAGAUAGGACUUAGAUAAACUAUUUAUUUGCUGCCGGCGGGACGCCACGGCAAAGGUGGAUCGGAAGACAGCCACGUCUAGGAGGGGUUGGUGUCGAUAGAGUUCGCUUGGAUUGGAAUGCCCCAAGCAUGCGCCGCGGUUCGACAAAACCCUCAUUGGACAGCCCUCUAACAGUCUCCUCGGGCGCUGCCUCCACGAAACAAUAGUUGUUGAGCAGCAAAAGCCAAAUCACUGCAAGCCCUACAAACCUCCACUGCAUCUCCACUCGUGCCAUGUCUCUCAAGCACUCUCUGUAUC
RNAcentral lists this long non-coding RNA (414 nucleotides) under Elaeis guineensis (African oil palm). RNAcentral describes it as "long non-coding RNA (EGUI_LNC017298)". The record is from RNAcentral. Lineage: Eukaryota; Viridiplantae; Streptophyta; Magnoliopsida; Arecales; Arecaceae.